AACGAACGCUGGCGGCAUGCCUAACACAUGCAAGUCGAACGAGACCUUCGGGUCUAGUGGCGCACGGGUGCGUAACGCGUGGGAACCUGCCCUUAGGUUCGGCAUAACUCCCCGAAAGGGGUGCUAAUACCGGAUAAUGUCUUCGGACCAAAGAUUUAUCGACUUUGGAUGGGCCCGCGUUGGAUUAGCUUGUUCGUAGGGUAAAAGCCUACCAAGGCGACGAUCCAUAGCUGGUCUGAGAGGAUGAUCAGCCACACUGGGACUGAGACACGGCCCAGACUCCUACGGGAGGCAGCAGUGGGGAAUAUUGGACAAUGGGCGAAAGCCUGAUCCAGCAAUGCCGCGUGAGUGAUGUAGGCCUUAGGGUUGUAAAGCUCUUUUACCCGGGAUGAUAAUGACAGUACCGGGAGAAUAAGCUCCGGCUAACUCCGUG
Molecule: ribosomal RNA, 433 nt
Filed under: uncultured bacterium
Lineage: Bacteria
Description: partial 16S ribosomal RNA
Rfam family: Bacterial small subunit ribosomal RNA
Source: RNAcentral